This 253-nucleotide ribosomal RNA is filed under the name uncultured bacterium. RNAcentral's name for it is "partial 16S ribosomal RNA". It matches the Rfam family "Bacterial small subunit ribosomal RNA", at positions 524 to 776 of the family's 1533-position model. The record is from RNAcentral.
UACGUAGGGGGCUAGCGUUGUCCGGAAUCAUUGGGCGUAAAGCGCGUGUAGGCGGUUCGGUAAGUCCGCUGUGAAAGUCGGGGGCUCAACCCUCGAAUGCCGGUGGAUACUGUCGAACUAGAGUGCGGAAGAGGCGAGUGGAAUUCCUGGUGUAGCGGUGAAAUGCGCAGAUAUCGGGAAGAACACCUAUGGCGAAGGCAGCUCUCUGGGACGGUACUGACGCUGAGACGCGAAAGCGUGGGGAGCGAACAGG